Molecule: ribosomal RNA, 766 nt
Filed under: uncultured bacterium
Lineage: Bacteria
Description: bacterial SSU rRNA
Rfam family: Bacterial small subunit ribosomal RNA
Source: RNAcentral
CUUGCUUCUCUUGAGAGCGGCGGACGGGUGAGUAAUGCCUAGGAAUCUGCCUGGUAGUGGGGGAUAACGUUCGGAAACGGACGCUAAUACCGCAUACGUCCUACGGGAGAAAGCAGGGGACCUUCGGGCCUUGCGCUAUCAGAUGAGCCUAGGUCGGAUUAGCUAGUUGGUGGGGUAAUGGCUCACCAAGGCGACGAUCCGUAACUGGUCUGAGAGGAUGAUCAGUCACACUGGAACUGAGACACGGUCCAGACUCCUACGGGAGGCAGCAGUGGGGAAUAUUGGACAAUGGGCGAGAGCCUGAUCCAGCCAUGCCGCGUGUGUGAAGAAGGUCUUCGGAUUGUAAAGCACUUUAAGUUGGGAGGAAGGGUUGUAGAUUAAUACUCUGCAAUUUUGACGUUACCGACAGAAUAAGCACCGGCUAACUCUGUGCCAGCAGCCGCGGUAAUACAGAGGGUGCAAGCGUUAAUCGGAAUUACUGGGCGUAAAGCGCGCGUAGGUGGUUUGUUAAGUUGGAUGUGAAAUCCCCGGGCUCAACCUGGGAACUGCAUUCAAAACUGACUGACUAGAGUAUGGUAGAGGGUGGUGGAAUUUCCUGUGUAGCGGUGAAAUGCGUAGAUAUAGGAAGGAACACCAGUGGCGAAGGCGACCACCUGGACUAAUACUGACACUGAGGUGCGAAAGCGUGGGGGAGCAAACAGGAUUAGAUACCCUGGUAGUCCACGCCGUAACGAUGUCAACUAGCCGUUGGAAGCCUUGAGCUUUU